Molecule: transfer RNA, 73 nt
Filed under: Nelumbo nucifera (sacred lotus)
Lineage: Eukaryota; Viridiplantae; Streptophyta; Magnoliopsida; Proteales; Nelumbonaceae
Rfam family: tRNA
About the family: Transfer RNA (tRNA) molecules are approximately 80 nucleotides in length. Their secondary structure includes four short double-helical elements and three loops (D, anti-codon, and T loops).
Source: Rfam by way of RNAcentral
CCGCGUGUAGCACAGUGGAUAGAGCAUUUGUUUCCUAUGCAGAAAGUCGUAGGUGCGGCCCCUACCUGGUGCA